This 1415-nucleotide small RNA is filed under the name Pan troglodytes (chimpanzee). RNAcentral describes it as "retained intron". The record is from RNAcentral. Lineage: Eukaryota; Metazoa; Chordata; Mammalia; Primates; Hominidae.
CGGGGCAGUUCCUUGCGCUUCAGUCCCCCCCCGGGUCCCCUCCUGCUCCCGGGUUUUCUGCCCCGUUCCCCCGGGUGGCUGUGGGCUCCCAGGCCCUGUGUCGGCCAGCCGGCCCCAGCGCCCCACGACCCCAUGGUGUCUCCCAAGAAGGUACAUGAAGCACAAGCGCGACGAUGGGCCCGAGAAGCAGGAGGACGAGGCGGUGGACGUGACGCCGGUGAUGACCUGCGUGUUUGUGGUGAUGUGCUGCUCCAUGCUGGUGCUGCUCUACUACUUCUACGACCUCCUCGUGUACGUGGUCAUCGGGAUCUUCUGCCUGGCCUCCGCCACCGGCCUCUACAGCUGCCUGGCGCCCUGUGUGCGGCGGCUGCCCUUCGGCAAGUGCAGCGCCCGCAGGCCCGUAUGCUGCUCCUGGCGCUCUUCUGCGUGGCCGUCAGCGUGGUGUGGGGCGUCUUCCGCAAUGAGGACCAGUAAGUGCUGCUUCCCCCGGGCCCCGGCGGACAGUGGCGUCCUCAGAUGCACCAGGGCUCCUGGGGCCCUGACUCCCUGCCCUCCCUGGAGGCCGCCCCAGCCUGGAGCUGCUUCAGCACCGCGUUAUGAAAAGCCCUGGCCCCGGGCUGCUCUGACAGUGCUGUGAGGUCGUUUCACCUGGGUUUGUCCGGGUGCCGUGGGAACCCUGACUGGAAUCCGGGAGGAGAGGCCGGAGCCCCUGUGGCCAGGAGCCACAUCCUCCAGCCUGGAUGGGACUCCUUUGUGGGGCAUCGCUGCCCAGGGCCACAGUCUGUCCCCCGCUGUCCCUUUCCUGGCACCCACGUGCACACCGCAGGUUCGAGGCCCAGGGUGUGGGCACCAGGGCACCCGAUCCUCUUGGUCAUGACUGCUGUGGCUUCUGAGCAGUGGUGGAGGUGGGGCAGGCACUGCUCCCCCCACGCUCACCUCCCACGCGGCCUGGACUUGUGGCUGCCUCCCGCCGGCCGGGCCUCCCCCAUGAGGCCGAGUGCCUGGCGCCGUGUUGGGAGGACAGAGCUGGCCUGUCCCCGCCCGGUCCCCACCGCUGUCGCUGAUACCAUCUGGCGCUUCCUCCCAGCCUUCCCGAGGCAGCCAAGUACGCUUGGCUUUGGUGUGUAUUGGAGCCACGGCACGUUUAACUGGCAGAAGGAAGAUGUGAAAAUAUUUUGAAUCCUUUGUACACAAAGAGAAAAUGAAUCUUUUCAGUUAUUUCCAAGCCAGGAAACUCGCUCCGUCACAUGAAGUUAGAGCAGGCCUCAGUCAGUUGGGCGUAGGGGCUCACGCCUGGGAUCCCAGCAUUUGGUAGGCCAAGUUAGGACGAUCACUUUGCCCAGGAGUUCAAGACCAGCCUGGGUAACAAGCAAGACCCCCGCUCUAUUUAAGAAAUAAUAUAAAAUCAGAAAAAA